This 149-nucleotide ribosomal RNA is filed under the name Chilostomella sp. CPac. RNAcentral describes it as "partial small subunit ribosomal RNA". It matches the Rfam family "Eukaryotic small subunit ribosomal RNA", at positions 1678 to 1827 of the family's 1831-position model. Lineage: Eukaryota; Foraminifera; Rotaliida; Chilostomellidae. The record is from RNAcentral.
GCUCUUACCGAUGGACUUCUCUGUGAGUUUGAGGGACUGGGAACGCAGGAUUUAUUUUCUGCACACCUAUGGAAACUUAAACGAACAGUGUGGUCUAAAGGAAAGAGAAGUCGUAACAAGGCAUCGGUAGGUGAACCUGCCGAUGGAUC